UACGUAGGGUGCGAGCGUUAAUCGGAAUUACUGGGCGUAAAGCGUGCGCAGGCGGUCUGUUAAGACCGAUGUGAAAUCCCCGGGCUUAACCUGGGAACUGCAUUGGUGACUGGCAGGCUUUGAGUGUGGCAGAGGGAGGUAGAAUUCCACGUGUAGCAGUGAAAUGCGUAGAGAUGCGGAGGAACACCGAUGGCGAAGGCAGCCCCCUGGGCUAACACUGACGCUGAGGCACGAAAGCGUGGGGAGCAAACAGG
This 254-nucleotide ribosomal RNA is filed under the name uncultured bacterium. RNAcentral's name for it is "partial 16S ribosomal RNA". It matches the Rfam family "Bacterial small subunit ribosomal RNA", at positions 524 to 776 of the family's 1533-position model. The record is from RNAcentral.